This 35-nucleotide ribosomal RNA is filed under the name Collyriclum faba. RNAcentral's name for it is "partial 5.8S ribosomal RNA". The record is from RNAcentral. Lineage: Eukaryota; Metazoa; Platyhelminthes; Trematoda; Plagiorchiida; Collyriclidae.
GGUGCCAGAUCUAUGGCUUUUCCCUAAUGUGUCCG